Molecule: non-coding RNA, 3476 nt
Organism: Callithrix jacchus (white-tufted-ear marmoset)
Lineage: Eukaryota; Metazoa; Chordata; Mammalia; Primates; Cebidae
Source: RefSeq, a predicted model, not a curated record
GGCCCGCGCGCAGUCGGCGGCGGAGGAUCCGGGAAGCCUUUGCGCCCCGGCGCAUUUCCCGCAACCCCGGCCCUCCGCCGGCGGCUAAACUGCGCCCGGGCUGGCCCCUUUGAAAAUGCAGAAGUUGGUAUCCAAAGUUCUCCGGUUCCGGAAACCCGCGUGCGCUCAGGGAUUUAGGGGAAGUGUGGGCUUUGGCUCUGGCGUCCUUGGAACGGAGCUCGGGCGCUGACUUUGCUGCGUGACCUUGGUCGAGUCACGGACUCGCAGCCGCCAUCGCCUAUUGCUCCGCAGAGAGGGGGAGACGCCUGCCUUCGGGCGGCGGGGAGGAGCUAAGCGGAUGCAGAGUGCCACUGGCAGGGCAAGCGCAUGUUUACUCGUUUGUGGGUGGCUUUAUUCCUGCCGGGAGCUGGCAGAGCAGGGGAAGCCGCGGAAAGGAAUAAGAAGAGGAGAAGACGAGGCGUGGCCGGGCGGAGCCGGGUGUCCUCGGAGCCGCGAGGCCGGGAACUUAACGCGGGAACCUGGCUCUCUGCUGCCCUCCAGCGGGCGCGGCGCACCGAGAGCAUCCCGGCCGGACCGACUUAGCGGCCCGCCCCUCAUUCUUCCCGCUGUUGGCGGAGGGAGAAAUCCGGCUCCGAGCGCGAGUCCUGUUUCGAUUCACGGCCUGCAGUUUCCAUCUAGGAAGCUUCUACCACCCACUCGGCCAUUGAUUCAGCGGAUACUGAACACGUGCUUGGUCCCAGGCACAGAGCUCGCUGCCUGGGUGGGGUGGGAGCCAUGGCGCGUGUCUGCCAGGGCCCUCUGGAGCGCGCAUAUGUGGGCCAAACCUUUGGGCUCAAAGGUGUGAUUCUCAAAGGCUCUCCCCGUGGGCAUUCCUUUUCCUCCAUUUUACAGGUGCUCCUGAGCAUCUUCCCAGUUCCCACUGAAAGCGUCAAUGACUGCCCAGAAACCCUGAGCUAUAAACAAGACAUCGAUCCCCUGGCUGUGCUGUGUAAAAUAUUAACAACGCUUAAGUGGAUACCAGGCCUGAGAGCAGUGUCCGCGCGGCAUUAGCCGCCUGGGCCACGGGCCUAAUGGAUGAGGAACUGACUCCUGGGCUCGCUCACCAGCUUGGGGCCCGUCAGCUCUGGGGCCACAGUGGGCUCACUGAGGCUGGGCUGAUGGUCUUAUCACACUCCCCUUUCCUGGGACUUGGAGAAGGAAGCUGGCAGAAACCAGACAAGAAUGCCCAGAGUGGAAUUUCACACCCUCAAGGCUCCUCAAACUCAGCACCUGCAAAGCUGACCUCUUCAUCCUCUCCCAACCCGCCACUCCCCAAGUCUCCUCAUCUCAGUGUACAGCCAAAACCUCGGCUCUUACCUUGGAAUAUCUGCCUGUCCCCACCUCUGUCCAGCCUAUCACCAAACUCUAGCCCUGUGCCUCCUGCUCCAUCUCUGCCCCACUGCCAUCAGCCCAGCCAUACCAUCGUCCUCCCUUCUGGACUCCCAACAUGCGUCCCCAGUGCCUCUCCCCACCUCCACUCUGCUUCUCCUGCUACCACUUCUUGGCUCAGUAACCAGCAUGAUCAUCUCAAGACAAAAAGACCCUUCCCCUUCCCAGUUGGAAAGCCCCAGGAGCGCCCAUUUCAGCACUGGCUGUGUUUGCCUCUGUGGCUGGUGACCAUACCCCAAUUUCCUUUUCCAGCCUCAGUGCAGUGACUUUGAAGAUUUGCUCAAUCAGUGUGAGUUUCUCUUUUCCACUCCAUACCACCCCUCUGCUGCCACAGUGGUUGGCUCAGGGAUGGCCGCCAGAUGGGAGCCAGAAGACUGGCCCAGGGAAAAGCCAAGGUUAUAGAAGCUAAGUGGCCAGCCUGCCACCAUGUGGGAACAGCAGGCCUGAAAACGGAGUCAUCUCAGGAGAAAACACAGCAAAAAGUGAAGAGAAAGGGACCAAGUCCAGUUGGCAAUGCUAUGUGCGCCAAGACACAUCUAAGCUUGUAUCUUUCAGACAUAUGAGCCAAUCAAUCCACCAGCUAUGGCUUAAGGCAAUGUGACUUAGGUUGCUGUCCCUUGCAGCCAAUAGAAUCCUAAUAAUGCAUUCUCCAUUACUCAUGGAACAAUGACCACAGUCCUAAAAAGACCCCUAAUACAAGCAGCUAAAGCAAUUACUAUGUACCAAGUGUUUCAACAUGACUCAUCUCUUUCAUUCCUCACAGUUCUGAUAAGGUAGGAACUGGAAAGGAAAAGAAGUUGAAUCACAGAGUGGUUAAUGCUUUGUUUAAGGGCACACAGCUGAUAAACCAGAGUCAGGAUUUGAAUCCAAGCAGUUCAGCUCCAAAGCCUGUGAUUUCAUUUCAACCUUGUCCCCCAUGGCUGGACCCCUCCUCUCUCUUGCUUGUGUGGCUCUGGUCACACUCGCAGCUACCUGACUGAGCCCAGCACUCUCUCACCUUGGGGUCUUCGCACAUGUCCUUCCCUGGACUAUGCACACUUUUCCUCUUCCUCGUCUUUGCCCAGUUUCUGCCUCAUCAUCCUUGGGGGUCUGCACUCCAGUGUCACUUCUGCAGAGUUGCCUUCCUGGAUCUCCUCCCCAUCAUUGGUUUCUACUUCACCCCCAUCCUUUUCCCUUCCUGCAGUUACUGUAAUGGGAAUGUAGACAUUUGCCUAUGUGUUUAUUUGUUUCUGCUUUCCCACUAGAAGACCUGCCUUGUAUAAAGAUUUAUUUGAUAGGGCUAUUGCCUGCCUUGUAUAAAGAUUUAUUUAAUAGGGUUGGCACAUGACACCUUUUCCCAAUUGUUUCAGUACAGGCGUCCUAGUGUCACUAGCAAGAGUAUGGGUCUGGGAGUCUAGAAGAACCAGGGAUGAGUUCCUACGCCCAACCUUAGCCUGUUCAUGGACUUGGCCACAGCACAUUGCCUCUCUCAGCCUUCCUUUCCUCCUUGUAAAAUGAAGUCACUUGGUGAUAUUAUCUGCCUCUUGCACAAUGGGCUAUGGAUGUGAAAGUGUCUCAAGAUGCACAAGAGGGACCUUGUUUCUAGACACCCUGUUUCCUCAGAGCCAGGACAACAUAGAAAAUGACACCAAGGGAGCCCAGCUCUUUUGACCUUAGACUAUUGCCCAAGCCCUCUGUAUUAAUCCAUUCUCACAUUGCUGUAAAGAAAUCCCUGGCUGGGUACAGCGGCUCAUGUCUGUAAUCUCAGCACUUUGGGAGACUGAGGUGGGUGGAUCACCUGAGGUUGGGAGUUUGAGACAAGCCUGCCAACAUGGAGAAACCCUGUCUCUACUAAAAAUACAAAAUUAGCCUGGCAUGAUGGUGCGUGCCUGUAAUCCCAGCUACUCGGGAGGCUGAGGCAGGAGAAUCACUUGAACUGGGGUGGGGGUGUGGAGGUUGCAGUGAGCAGAGAUCACACUAUUGCUCUCCAGUCUGGGCAACAAGAGUGAGGUCCGUCUAAAAUAUAAAAAAAAGGAAGAAAUCCCUGAGACUAGGUAAUUUAUAAAGAA